CCUACGGGAGGCAGCAGUGAGGAAUAUUGGUCAAUGGACGAGAGUCUGAACCAGCCAAGUAGCGUGAAGGAUGACUGCCCUAUGGGUUGUAAACUUCUUUUAUAUGGGAAUAAAAUGUUCCACGUGUGGGAUUUUGUAUGUACCAUAUGAAUAAGGAUCGGCUAACUCCGUGCCAGCAGCCGCGGUAAUACGGAGGAUCCGAGCGUUAUCCGGAUUUAUUGGGUUUAAAGGGAGCGUAGGUGGAUUGUUAAGUCAGUUGUGAAAGUUUGCGGCUCAACCGUAAAAUUGCAGUUGAAACUGGCAGUCUUGAGUACAGUAGAGGUGGGCGGAAUUCGUGGUGUAGCGGUGAAAUGCUUAGAUAACACGAAGAACUCCGAUUGCGAAGGCAGUUCACUGGACUGCAACUGACACUGAGGCUCGAAAGUGUGGGUAUCAAACAGGAUUAGAUACCCGAGUAGUC
Molecule: ribosomal RNA, 460 nt
Filed under: uncultured bacterium
Lineage: Bacteria
Description: partial 16S ribosomal RNA
Rfam family: Bacterial small subunit ribosomal RNA
Source: RNAcentral